AUUUUUUUUUAAAUUAUUAAUUCCAGAAGCCGAUUCUGCUGCAAGGCCACGAGCGUUCCAUCACGCAGAUCAAAUAUAACCGCGAGGGAGAUCUGYUGUUCACCGUGGCCAAAGAUCCCAUCGUCAACGUGUGGUAUUCGGUGAACGGGGAGAGGUUGGGAACUUACAAUGGGCACACGGGAGCUGUGUGGUGCGUGGAUGCCGAUUGGGACACGAGGCACGUCCUGACGGGCUCUGCAGAUAACAGCUGUCGGCUCUGGGACUGUGAGACGGGUGAGACCCCCCCCAAAUCC
Long non-coding RNA from Malurus melanocephalus (red-backed fairy wren), 293 nucleotides. RefSeq lists it as uncharacterized. The transcript has 3 exons. Lineage: Eukaryota; Metazoa; Chordata; Aves; Passeriformes; Maluridae. The record is from RefSeq and is a predicted model, not a curated record.